Molecule: transfer RNA, 73 nt
Filed under: Felis catus (domestic cat)
Lineage: Eukaryota; Metazoa; Chordata; Mammalia; Carnivora; Felidae
Rfam family: tRNA
About the family: Transfer RNA (tRNA) molecules are approximately 80 nucleotides in length. Their secondary structure includes four short double-helical elements and three loops (D, anti-codon, and T loops).
Source: Rfam by way of RNAcentral
ACCUAGCUGGCUCAGUCAGUAGAGUAUGUGACUCUUGAUCUUGGGGUCAUGAGUUCAAGUCCCAUGCUGGGCA